Brassica oleracea var. oleracea is the source of this 1442-nucleotide long non-coding RNA. RefSeq lists it as uncharacterized. The transcript has 4 exons. Lineage: Eukaryota; Viridiplantae; Streptophyta; Magnoliopsida; Brassicales; Brassicaceae. The record is from RefSeq and is a predicted model, not a curated record.
GUGAAGCCGACAUUCUUUUCUAGGGUUUCUUGCCUGCUGCAAAAUCCCGGGAGACUUAACCGCUAAUGGAGCUUCUGAGAUUCCCAUAGAGACGAUCCUUCGUCCGUAAUCGGUGCAUCUAUGACUGCUCACGAUGUCGAUUCUUCUCCUCACAAGCGUUACAAGCCGCAUUGAUUUAACGUCAUUAAGGAGAUCUUAACUCUUACGACCCACUGCAACCACGACCACUCAAUCAAUGAUUCUUAUCCCUCUUCCAAUCGGUGUAUCUACACCUAUAAAAAGGAAAAUUGCCGGCCAGCUGGAAUAUGCUUUGACAGAGUACAUAUCUCACUCCUCCACCGUAUAAGAGCAUAACGGCCUCUCCGGGUCUGCUUUUUCCCUAAGAGGAAGUAUAUCAGCAAGUGCAGAAGAAAAGGAAAGCAGAGGCAUGAUGGGUAAUACGAUCGAAUAAGAGCUACGUCACCGUUGAAGAUCUGAAGAGAAUUCUCAUAGACGCAGCUUCAGCGGCGGAAGGAAAUCACUUGGUCGCUGAGGAGGGAGGCCAUCACUUGGCGGUGGUGGUGGUCGGCGUUGGUUUGUGUAACGGGUGCGUGGACCUCAUGUCAAGUUCUCCAAUGACACCGAGCGGCUUCAGUUUAUCAGCAUCAUAGUAAAAAGGUCGUCUUGGUGCUCAUAUCAAACGUGUCAUUGGACUCUUAUAUGAGACAAGGCAAACCUUUACACCAGAGCAAAUAAACCAAAACUGUUAUGUUAUUAUGCUUGCCAACAAGGCUGUUUUUGAUAGUUUGAUGAACAAUGCCAAAGUGUACUAUAUGAGAGGAGGUUCUCUUACAAGGUCGAGGUUGAUGAUGAGUUCAAAUCUAUGCUCCAAGACAUAGACAUCCCGAGUAACCUGCUUGACGUGGAGAAGGAGCUGUUUAAGAUUUGUCUGUAGCCACUGAUGGACACUUCGCAGAGGAGAGAUGCUGCACAGAUUCAAUGUGAGCAGAAUAACCAACAGCAAAGAGCUGAUAAUGUUUGCUUGUGCAGUCACUUCAUAAGUUCAAGUACUUAGAGAUCAGAGAUGAGACCAUGGAAGCAAAAGAAAAUGCACAAGUGACACUCUUUACACUUUCGCUACCCGAGGAGAACAAGAUCAUAAUAGGCGGUGCCAUACUUGCCUAACUGGAGCUUCUCGAGAAUGGGUUCCCAAAAGGGAAGAAAGAUGCAGUGACAGCAUUGUUUGAUCUAUUGAUCAGGGAAACAUAGUUAGAGCGAUUAAAGCUAAUAUAGCUGCUGCAUUGGUAAAGAUGCCUAUGACAGAUUCCGAAAUUAGUGAUGAGAUUAUUAAAGAUGUUUUGUGAUUGUUAGAAAGUUUCUUCAAGCCCGAAGCGAUGUGUCAUAUUAGUCUUAUGGUUGUUUUGUGGUUUUUGUUUUUCUAUGCCACAAAAAGUUAAAUCUUA